Molecule: long non-coding RNA, 1715 nt
Filed under: Medicago truncatula (barrel medic)
Lineage: Eukaryota; Viridiplantae; Streptophyta; Magnoliopsida; Fabales; Fabaceae
Description: long non-coding RNA (MTRU_LNC007690)
Source: RNAcentral
CUGUUCCACUAAACAACUUGAUCAAUAUUCCAUUUAAGCACUAAUUAGUGUAAAGGACGAGAGAGAGAGAGACAUAUUAAAAAAAAAUAAGGACGUAUAUUACUCAUUUACCCUUCCACAAAAGGGAGAAGAGCUUAAAAGGAUAAUUGACUUUAGACCAUAGAUUGCAAUAAUUGAAGAGCAUUUUUCAUCGAUCAGGUUUGAUUCUGCCAAGCCUAAAAAGUAUUAUUACGACAUUGCAUUAGAUUUGAGAGCUUAUAUUGAGUUGGCUUAAGCUUAUUUGUUUGAGAGGGUGGCAUUUAGCCUGGGUAAGUGAGGUUUUUUCUCAUCGUGGGAAAGUUGGAUUUUCACCAUUAGAUUAAAGAGGUGUAUUGAUCUUAUCAUAGUUUACCUGUACUCUAUUCAUCUUCUAGAUCUGGAAGCAAAAUAAUCUUCCGUCCGCUCUCUUUCCAUGUCUCCUCCACUCACCCAUCACCACCAUACAAAAGCAUUUGCUUCCAUCCUCUCUGUUCACACGCAGCCAUCAUCACCAUGAACAUCACAGACUCAUAAAACACCAACAACAACAACUUAUUAACCCAAACUGAAUUAAUCAUUCCUUGAAACCCCAAUCUUUUAACCAUUUGUUCAACACACGCAUUGUUGUUUUCUGUUUCCAGUUUGUGUUUCUCUUUACCAAUUCUCUUGUGAAUCAUUAAAGAAAAGCUGUUAAAGAUUAAAGAAUUUCUAGUUACGUGUGUGUUCUCUCACAAUACAAGCAUUAAAGAAAAGCUGUUAAAUAUUAAUGGAUGGGGCAGGCAUAAUAACAAAUUAAAAUUAAAGUUGCUGGAUUUGCUUGGAGGAGAGUUGUUUAUGUGAAACUUGAAAUGUUUUUGUAUGGAGAAGAGUUGCAGGUUGUGGUUGGAGGAGAGAGAAUUGUUGGGGAAGAUAGUGUGAAAAAUUCAGUGUUGAGAGAACAUGAUAAGAGUGUACUCUUUAUUUAAUCAAAUGGCUAAGAUCAACUUUCCCAUUAUGGAAAACUACUUCCCUUUCCCAUACUAAACCCCACCGUUUGAGAGUAAUGGUACCAAUAGUACUAGUACUAUUUUCGUAAAGAAGCCACACACAUUAAAAUAUGUGCCUAAAGUAUAUACUCAGUAUUAUGUACAAUACCCAAAUAAAAAAAACAGGGUCACAAUGAAAAACAGGGUCAUUCAUUCCCUAUUCCCGUUGAAUAUCUAUGCUUCACAUCUAUUUUUUUUAUGCACGUAUCGAAGAUGAAGUGGCAAAUAAGAAAUGUUUAUUUGGAAUGGUGCAGAUUUUGUAUUCGGUGUCGGAAUGACUCGAAUUAUACCUUUUCGGAAAGCACCAGAUCUCACGAGCAAAACUCCUUUCUUUGUCAUGUUGUAGGGGUGAAUUUAGUCAUUCGAGGUCGUCUGAAAGUCCGAAACUACAUUUCAAUAUUUCAGCAUAUUCUAGAUUUUUCUAUUUUAUUCCAAUUUGUUAUUUUUCGGCCAUACAUGUAUGUUAUUUCCUCUAGUGUUUAAACAAAACUUAUGCAGUUUAAGAGACAUUUUUUCAUUCAAUAAAAAUUACCGAGACUUUUUUCAAUUUUGGUGGAUUCUGGAAACCCUUAUUUGAUAGGUUUGUCGUUUGCAGCUUGUUUAUCUUUUAUGUUUAGCGCUUACUAGUUCUUACUUCCAUUACGCGUCUUACUUUUAAUGAUUUGAUGUUCU